RNAcentral lists this ribosomal RNA (741 nucleotides) under Triticum aestivum (bread wheat). Its description in RNAcentral is "partial small subunit ribosomal RNA". Lineage: Eukaryota; Viridiplantae; Streptophyta; Magnoliopsida; Poales; Poaceae. The record is from RNAcentral.
AUGGAACAUUCCAUCCCUUAUUCUCAUGGCUAUGCAUCGGAUUCGGAUGAUGAAGGUCCCGAUGAACAAGUUGAUGAGGAGGGGUUCACGGCGAAGGAGGCCGAAGGUUUCGAGAAGGUAUUUGGUCGGGAUCAUUGGACUACAUUGUUCAAGGAUGUUAGUCUCGCGGAUGAAGUCGUGGUAGAUGGUGGCCAAGGUAUAUCUCUUGGGGUUAGGCCAAGCUCUCACCGUGAUUUGAAUGAUGGCAAGAACGGGAUUGCUAAAGGGUCUAAGUUCCAAACAUUUUUGGAGUUGAAGAUGUGGCUCGACAACUACUCGGUUACGUAUUAUCGUCCACACAAGGUGGUGCACUCGAACGUCAAAGUGCUUGCAUGUCCAUGUGAAGAUGAUGAAAAAUGUCCAUGGAUUUUACGUGCAAGACCAUGGAAAGGAGGUCCCACUUGGCAUGUAGUCAGUUGUGUGGCAACUCACAUGUGCCGAGGCAAAAUGGUGGAUGGCAAGGUUGUGUCCCAAGACCACAGACAACUCACAUCCGAUUUCAUCGCUUAUAGGCUCUCCAACUCAAUUUCCACACUUCCAACAAUGAGCAUACAACAUAUGAUUGACCUUGUGAAAGCCAUCUUUCAUUACAAGGUGAAGUACGGGAAGCCACGCCACUGCUACUUUCAAGUGGCAGACCCUUACAGGGACCAGCCACCUUUCUCACUUUUAAAAUAUUUUGGACUUCAAACUUUUCUAUGA